UGCUUAAUUGCGUUUCAAAAUUUAAACCUGAGCGACAAGGUGCUGCUAUCGAAACUGUCUUUGAGUGUGAACUAUAAGUCUUUUGACUUAUGACCAUCACUCUAGACGUUUAUGUUUUGGUGUUGGCCCUUGAUGCUCAUUUGAACGCAACGGACGUGAUUGCAACCCCUUGUUGAGAUUUAUCCGAUCUCUACGUUCACUGAACCACACUCUUUAGCGAGAGCAGUGGGGAUGUGGAUAAACUCGGGGGACUGCUGACUAUAAACUUUUCUCAAACCAGAGGAAGGUUGCGGCAAUAACAGGUCUGUGAUGCCCUCAGAUGUUCCGGGCUGCACACGUGCUACAUUUAGUAGCGCAGUGUGCACAUUAAUAGAGUGAUAGGUUCCGUGGUUUGUACAUUUUAAGGGCUCGUCCUAGUAACCAAAGCUCCACGGGACAUAUCAACCUUCCCCUUACAGGGCGGGUAACCUCUUCGAAGUGCUGGCAUGAUUUCCCUAGUUUUGGCAUUUGAAUCCUUGUCGCAGCAGCCCUGAGACGUAGUGAACGCUGCAAAGUGAUUCCAGUCUUAGGUUUGCGACACAUGCAAUUCCUGGUUGACUCAUCGUGGGGACUGAUUCUUGUAAUUAUUUUUCACGGUUCAACCAGGAAUGCCUUGUACCGGCGGCUCAUUAAACCGCUGGGAAUACGUCCCUGCCCUUUGUACACACCGCCCGUCGCUCUUACC
This 724-nucleotide ribosomal RNA is filed under the name Globigerinoides elongatus. RNAcentral describes it as "partial small subunit ribosomal RNA". It matches the Rfam family "Eukaryotic small subunit ribosomal RNA", at positions 1316 to 1686 of the family's 1831-position model. The record is from RNAcentral. Lineage: Eukaryota; Foraminifera; Rotaliida; Globigerinidae.